GCAAAUGAACUUUUCUUCAAUCGAAAACUUACUUCAAUCUUGAUUUUCAAAAACCUAUAACAAAUCAAAAACACAUUAAUUAUUUUAUAUAAAAUUUAAAUUAUUUUAAAACACAAAUUAUUUAAUUAUUUUUUAAAUAAUUUAAAAACAUAAAAUAUUGAAAACAAAUUUAUUUCAUGCAAAUAAUUAAUUAAGAUAUAGAUUCAUGUAAAUUAUUAAUUAAAUUGAUAUUUAAUUACAAUUAUUUAAAUAAUUUACAAAUAAGUUGAUUAAAUAAAAAAUUUAAUUAUUUUAAUUUAAAAUACGAAAUAAGAAAUAAUUAUUUUAAUUAUUAUUAAAAACAGUAAUUAAAAAAUCGAGGCGAGCAAUUCGAUUUUUUUAUGUAUUUUAAUUAUUUUAAUUAUUAUUAAAAACAGUAAUUAAAUAAUUUCUAAUUAUUUAAUUACCAAUUUAAUUAACAAAUUAUUUUGAUACAAUUUAAUAAUUAUUACUUAAGAAAUUAAAAUUUUAUGGAAAUUAAUUAUUUACAAGUAUAAGACAAAAAACUAAUUUUAUUACUUAAUUUUUUAAAUUUUUUUUUUUAAAACAAAAUAUUAAUUAUUUAAUUCAUAACAGUAAAUAAUAUAAAGAAUUUCAGUAUUUUUAAAAUUAUUUAAAAACAGUAAUUUAUUUAUUUAUUUAAAAAAAUAUUAAUUAUUUAAAAACAUUAAUUUAUUUAAUUAAAACAGUAAUUAUUUAUCUAAUUAAAUACACAUUUAUUUAAUUAAAAAACAAAAAAACAGUAAUUAUCAUUUAAAUUUAAUUUAUUCAUUAAAAACACUAAAUUAAACAGUAAUUUAUUUUUAAAAUGAUAAUUUCUUAUAUUAAAAACAGUAAAAUUUAUUAAUAAAUAACAACAAAAUAUAACUAAUUAGAUAAAAACGAUUUCAUAAAAAAUGAUCUCUAAAAUUUUACCAAAACGAACAAUCGAGGCGAGCAAGGCAAUCGGACACGAGCACGGCUGUCGGAGGAGGCGGAAAAACUAACACAAUACAUUAAAAAAUUACUAAAUAACUAUAAAGUAAUAUAAACAUGUAAAAUUAUAAACCCAAUCAACUAAUAAACAUUAGACAUAAAAUUAAAUAAAAUCAUAAAAUAUAAAUCGAAUAUUAAAUCUUUCAUAUCUAAAUGACAGUAGACAUCAAAAAUUAAACAAGACAUCAAAUAUUAAACAAGUCAUAUAAACAUCCAUAUCUAAAUCAAAUAAAAUCAACCAUAUCUAAACAUCCAUAUCUAAAUUCAUCCAUAACUAAACUAUAUAAAAUUCCAUAUAAACAUCCACAUUAACAUAAACAUCUAUAUAAACAUUCAUCAUCCAUGUAACUAAUUCCUAUAAACACUAGAAAUGACAAUCUAAAAACACUAAUAAUAACAUGAUUAUACAAACAAUCAAUAUUAUUCUAGAAUAUAAGUUUCAAAUAAUUACAAUCAAGAAAAACAAAAAAAAUUCAUUACAGUAGAAACUAAAUAAUCAAAUAAAAAAAUUAAACCCAUUCAUUACAGUAGAAACUAAAUAAUCAAAUAAUCAAAUUCAUUACAGUAAAUAUUAUUCUAGAAUUAUUUGAUUAAAAAAAUUCAAAUAAUCAAUAAUCGAAACCCAUUCACAAUCAUAUCUUCAAAUAAAUUAAACCCAAUCAUCAAUAAAUUAAACCCAUUCACAAUCAACACAAUAAUCAUAAACAAAAAACAAUAAAAAAACAAAAGAAAAUAUAAAACAAACCUUCAAUCAACCUUUGGAAUCGAAGUGUCCGGAGAUCACGGCGAGGACACGGCGACUGGGAGUGGAGACAGGCGACGACGACGGCAGCGGCGGGGAGACAGGCACGGCAGCAGGAGUCGGCGGAAGGAAGAAAACGAGAACAGACAACGCGUCUGUUCUGAUUUGGGGUUUUUAAUAAACCCCAAAACUUACAUGGCGGAUUUCCGCCAUGUAAGUACACUUAAGUGCCGC
RNAcentral lists this long non-coding RNA (1990 nucleotides) under Zostera marina. Its description in RNAcentral is "long non-coding RNA (ZMAR_LNC001514)". The record is from RNAcentral. Lineage: Eukaryota; Viridiplantae; Streptophyta; Magnoliopsida; Alismatales; Zosteraceae.